UUUGAUGGCUGUUCCUCUCACUGCUUGGAGCCUUAGGCAGUGGGAUUUUGAUCCAUCAUAUAUCAAAAAUGGCUUAUCUUCACUCAGGGCACCAUGAGGAUGGGCUGGCUGUCCGUUAGUGCCUUCUGAUUUUUGCGGAGUCAAACAAUUACU
Molecule: small nucleolar RNA, 153 nt
Filed under: Macaca mulatta (Rhesus monkey)
Lineage: Eukaryota; Metazoa; Chordata; Mammalia; Primates; Cercopithecidae
Description: RNA unclassified 8
Rfam family: Small nucleolar RNA SNORA79
About the family: ACA65 (SNORA79) is a member of the H/ACA class of snoRNAs that guide the sites of modification of uridines to pseudouridines.
Source: RNAcentral